RNAcentral lists this ribosomal RNA (386 nucleotides) under uncultured bacterium. RNAcentral describes it as "bacterial SSU rRNA". It matches the Rfam family "Bacterial small subunit ribosomal RNA", at positions 28 to 416 of the family's 1533-position model. The record is from RNAcentral.
GACGAACGCUGGCGGCGUGCUUAACACAUGCAAGUCGAGCGGUAAGGCCCUUUCGGGGUACACGAGCGGCGAACGGGUGAGUAACACGUGGGUGACCUGCCUUUAGCUCUGGGAUAAGCCUGGGAAACUGGGUCUAAUACCGGAUAUGACCCUAUGGCGCAUGUUGUGGGGUGGAAAGCCUUGUGCGGCUAGGGAUGGGCCCGCGGCCUAUCAGCUUGUUGGUGGGGUGAUGGCCUACCAAGGCGACGACGGGUAGCCGGCCUGAGAGGGCGACCGGCCACACUGGGACUGAGACACGGCCCAGACUCCUACGGGAGGCAGCAGUGGGGAAUCUUGCGCAAUGGGCGAAAGCCUGACGCAGCGACGCCGCGUGAGGGAUGACGGCC